AUUGAACGCUGGCGGCAGGCCUAACACAUGCAAGUCGAACGGUAACAGGAAACAGCUUGCUGUUUCGCUGACGAGUGGCGGACGGGUGAGUAAUGUCUGGGAAACUGCCUGAUGGAGGGGGAUAACUACUGGAAACGGUAGCUAAUACCGCAUAACGUCGCAAGACCAAAGAGGGGGACCUUCGGGCCUCUUGCCAUCGGAUGUGCCCAGAUGGGAUUAGCUAGUAGGUGGGGUAACGGCUCACCUAGGCGACGAUCCCUAGCUGGUCUGAGAGGAUGACCAGCUACACUGGAACUGAGACACGGUCCAGACUCCUACGGGAGGCAGCAGUGGGGAAUAUUGCACAAAGGGCGCAAGCCUGAUGCAGCCAUGCCGCGUGUAUGAAGAAGGCCUUCGGGUUGUAAAGUACUUUCAGCGGGGAGGAAGGGAGUAAAGUUAAUACCUUUACUCAUUGACGUUACCCGCAGAAGAAGCACCGGCUAACUCCGUG
RNAcentral lists this ribosomal RNA (490 nucleotides) under uncultured bacterium. RNAcentral describes it as "partial 16S ribosomal RNA". It matches the Rfam family "Bacterial small subunit ribosomal RNA", at positions 30 to 507 of the family's 1533-position model. The record is from RNAcentral.